UUUACAGUCUUAAGCAGAAUAUUAUCUGCCAUAUAUAACUGUAAUUUUUUAUUUAUUUUUAGUCCAAUGAGAACUGGAAGGGGAGGUGACUCAUUUAUGAUCAUUUCAUCUUAAUGAUUCAUGACAAUUUCUUGAGCACUUACCACGUCUGAGACAUGGAGUUACACCGUGGGGCUAAGGAGGUGACUAGGAUGAGGUCCCUGCAGUUGAAAAGUUUAUCAUCUAUCACAGGGGACAAGAUCAAUUCAGACACAUUCUUUAUGAUGUGGUAUUAGGAUGAAUUUGCAGCAUGCUGUGGAAAUAGAACAAAGGAGCCCUUGAGAAGCUAACCAGAAGAAGAAAAGGAAUAUCACACCCAUACAAGGAGACCAGCUUAGGUGUGGAUGCAAGGAAAUGCAUAGAGCUUGAGGAGUGGAAGUAGUUUGGUGCAUUAGAACAUAAAACAAAAAGAGGACAAUGACUGCGGAUGGAGAGGGUUUGAAUAUGGAAAGUUGUAGAUAUCAUGUUGUGUCAAAUGUUGCAAACUGAAGAAUUUGUGGUUCUUUGCACAACUUAAAAUUCUGGAGUGAAGGAACACUAUUUGGUACAUACUGUUCUCAUAGAAAGAGAAAAAGCAAGAGAAUUGUCAAAAACACUCAAUGGCUCAUCCAAUUUCUACAAGUGUCAUAUGACUACCCGUUCACUUGUCAUUGGCAAAGGAAGUCACAUGACCAACCCUACUUCUGGAGCCUAGAGGAGCAAACUUUGAAUGCAUCGUCAGUAAGUGCUAUAUGGAAAACCUGGCUGAAGAUAUCGUAAAGGACAUAUGGACAGGAAUCCAAAUUUCAGCCCCCCCACACUGCACUUGCUGGUUGAAGCAUCCCAGCUAUGGUUUGGGUAUAGAAGUUUUCUUCCUGGACCAUCACAAGGUGAAGAGGGCAAGGUGACACCAAGGUGCAUGGAAAUCAAAAUAAGAGCUUCCAAUUCUAACUUGAAAUCCAAUGGCUGGUUCCUCCAUAGCUACAGAAAUUCUCACAUCUGUGGAGGUCUCCAAGGAUAAAAUAAAUGUCUGCGCAGGUCACA
This 1062-nucleotide long non-coding RNA is filed under the name Vulpes vulpes (red fox). Its description in RNAcentral is "lncRNA (ENSVVUG00000004346.1)". Lineage: Eukaryota; Metazoa; Chordata; Mammalia; Carnivora; Canidae. The record is from RNAcentral.